RNAcentral lists this long non-coding RNA (1851 nucleotides) under Bos taurus (domestic cattle). Its description in RNAcentral is "long non-coding RNA NONBTAT006176". The record is from RNAcentral. Lineage: Eukaryota; Metazoa; Chordata; Mammalia; Artiodactyla; Bovidae.
GAUUUUUAGAACUACCUUUUGUGAUUGCCACAACUUUGAGUCUAAACUGGGGAUCAUAAAUUAGUUAAAAUAUUUUCUUAGCUCUCCAUUAAACAUAACUCUAAUUCAGUCCUAUAGUUAAAAUUACAUUUGCAGUGUUUAACUGAAAGUUGAAGCGUAGUUAGUCAUACCAAGAUUGCAUUGAUGACCCGCGGUCCAGGUAGAGUUGAAGAUGAUGUGUCUCUAGAAUACUGGCGUUAGAAACUGGUUGAAAUCGAAGAAAACAAGAUACUGUCAAAUAUUAUGAGCUAGAAUAUAAUGAACACCCAGGGAAGGGCUACUCAGGAACUAAAGAGCAAGUCUAAGGCCCAUUUCCCCUCCUUUCACUGUAUUUCAGGUAUUUUAUUGGAAAAGUUAAGCUAAAGAUCUGAGACAUUUAGCAAGUGCUAUUGACUGUGAAAUUUGCUUUAAAUCUUCUGAUGAGUUUUAGUUUGGUUUUUUGCAAUCAAGUCUACUGCUUGCAAUUAAGAUGUCAAUCUGAAAUGCAUCUAUGGUUCCUAGCCACACAGGUCCUUGUUGCCAUUAUUUUUAAGAAUCUAACUUUAUUGGAAAUUAGCAAACUUUUGCAUAUGAUCUAUUACCUCAGGGAAGAUCACUUGCUAGCAACUCACUACUAAUGACAGGUUUUUGAGAAUUGUACUGACAUCACUUGUUAGCUACUAAAUGCAGAAUUUAUAACAGUAUUAUUUUAUGUAGUUAACUACUAACUGGCUGCUAGUGAACAUUUCUCUAAAAAAUUUAGACCUCACUAAUAACUAACCUUUAGGUAUGAAAUAAACUUGUAAUUUCUGUCUUUAAGCUUUGGUCAAUACAGUGACAAUAUAAAAUGUUUAUUUCAGAAUAUCAGUACCAUUUUAUUUUUCAACAAGAAUUUUAAUUGGGUCCAUACAUAAAAUACCACAGAGCAGACUUUUAAGAUUCAUGGUUCUCAGAACAAAGUUUCCAUAUUAAGAUUUUCAUAAAAGCUUUUGCAGAACUGAAUUAAACUCCAUUCAUCAUUUAAUAUGACUUUAAAAUCACCUUUUAUAAGAGUAACAGAUACAUACUCUAAGCUGGGGUAUAGAUAUAUCCUACAUGUCAAGGUUAUCAUGUAAUUUAACAAAAUUGCACAACCUCAGGCUCUUCACAAUAUAAUUUUUCAAACCAGAAGUAUUCACUUGAAAACACCACAGUAGAAUGUUUACUUAACAAAAGGGGAGCUAUAUUACCAAUGUAAGAUUUAUAGUUAAUUGUAAGUUCUGCCAUUCUUAAUAAUUCUUUGAGAUGCUAAGUGUUUCAAUUCAUAUUUAAUGAUACUUAAAUCGUGGGAAUUUUAACAUUUGUUCCAAAAUAGCAGAAAUUGUAAAAAUUGUGAAUUAUUGGAGAAAAUGCCAUUACUUGUAUAUCUGACAUUUAAUUUUUUUAAAUUAUGGAAUCUACAUGCUUUUGUAGUAUAAUAUUAAUACGAUGAUUAUUCUCUUGUAAAAGAAAAGGAAAACUAGUAAAAAGUUUUAGUUGAUGUUAUGUGCUUGUGAGUAUCAAUUACUUAGUAUUUGAAAUUUUAAGGUCUUGCAUCCUUUUCUUUAGAAUGCACAAGUCCCUUCCUGAGCUUUUAUGCCUGUGGUAGAGCAGUAAAAGCCUGAAAAGGUUGUCAGUAUUUUUAGGUUCAUUUGACUUUGAGAAUUAGUGCCAAGAGCUGGAGGAUCUGCUUUUUGGAGGGAAAUGUUAUUUAGAAUAUGUAAAAAUAAGUGUAAUAGUGUAAAUAUUUAGAAAAAAUUAAGUAGCAAGUGCUUUAACUGCUGAAUAAAAUAGUAUAGAUGUUCUACCAUCCCU